Molecule: ribosomal RNA, 497 nt
Filed under: uncultured bacterium
Lineage: Bacteria
Description: partial 16S ribosomal RNA
Rfam family: Bacterial small subunit ribosomal RNA
Source: RNAcentral
GAUGAACGCUGGCGGCGUGCCUAAUACAUGCAAGUCGAGCGAACAGACGAGGAGCUUGCUCCUCUGACGUUAGCGGCGGACGGGUGAGUAACACGUGGAUAACCUACCUAUAAGACUGGGAUAACUUCGGGAAACCGGAGCUAAUACCGGAUAAUAUAUUUAACCGCAUGGUUCAAUAGUGAAAGACGGUUUUGCUGUCACUUAUAGAUGGAUCCGCGCCGCAUUAGCUAGUUGGUAAGGUAACGGCUUACCAAGGCAACGAUGCGUAGCCGACCUGAGAGGGUGAUCGGCCACACUGGAACUGAGACACGGUCCAGACUCCUACGGGAGGCAGCAGUAGGGAAUCUUCCGCAAUGGGCGAAAGCCUGACGGAGCAACGCCGCGUGAGGGAUGAAGGUCUUCGGAUCGUAAAACUCUGUUAUUAGGGAAGAACAAAUGUGUAAGUAACUAUGCACGUCUUGACGGUACCUAAUCAGAAAGCCACGGCUAACUACGUG